CAAACGACUCUCGGCAACGGAUAUCUCGGCUCUCGCAUCGAUGAAGAACGUAGCGAAAUGCGAUACCUGGUGUGAAUUGCAGAAUCCCGCGAACCAUCGAGUCUUUGAACGCAAGUUGCGCCCGAGGCCACUCGGCCGAGGGCACGCCUGCCUGGGCGUCACGC
RNAcentral lists this ribosomal RNA (164 nucleotides) under Leymus secalinus. RNAcentral describes it as "5.8S ribosomal RNA". It matches the Rfam family "5.8S ribosomal RNA". From Rfam's summary of the family: 5.8S ribosomal RNA (5.8S rRNA) is a component of the large subunit of the eukaryotic ribosome. It is transcribed by RNA polymerase I as part of the 45S precursor that also contains 18S and 28S rRNA. The record is from RNAcentral. RNAcentral also lists the same sequence under 1 other name. Lineage: Eukaryota; Viridiplantae; Streptophyta; Magnoliopsida; Poales; Poaceae.